CCCCAGUUCCCUCAGCUGCUCCUCAUCAGACUUGUGCUCCAGACCCUUCCUCAGCUCCACUGCCCUUCUCUGGACACGCUCCAGCAUCUCCGUGUCUCUCAUCUAGUGAGAGGCCCAGAACUGAACAUAGGAUUUGAGGCUCCCUGGGUUAACCUGGAGGCAACUUGCUUGGGUCUCACUGGCCUGGAGAGAAAUCUGUGGGUGCAUGCCUGCAAAAGCUGCACACUGUAAAGCAGAAGUUCAAGGAAAUCCAGCACUUCUCCUUACAACCUUGACUUCAGAAGACAGUCUCUUGUCUCAAAACUCUGUUCUUCAAGCCAGAACAGGGCAGUGGACCAGAAGUAUUCCUCAGAAAUAGAAGAAUUUACUCCAGAGAUGUUUUUAGAAGAAGUCAAG
Molecule: long non-coding RNA, 396 nt
Organism: Passer montanus (Eurasian tree sparrow)
Lineage: Eukaryota; Metazoa; Chordata; Aves; Passeriformes; Passeridae
Exons: 3
Source: RefSeq, a predicted model, not a curated record